Molecule: transfer RNA, 76 nt
Filed under: Fidelibacterota bacterium
Lineage: Bacteria; Pseudomonadati; Fidelibacterota
Description: tRNA-Asn
Rfam family: tRNA
About the family: Transfer RNA (tRNA) molecules are approximately 80 nucleotides in length. Their secondary structure includes four short double-helical elements and three loops (D, anti-codon, and T loops).
Source: RNAcentral
UCCGGAGUAGCUCAGUUGGUAGAGCGAGUGGCUGUUAACCACCAGGUCGGGGGUUCGAGUCCCUCCUCCGGAGCCA